This 250-nucleotide non-coding RNA is filed under the name Dactyliosolen fragilissimus. The record is from RNAcentral. Lineage: Eukaryota; Bacillariophyta; Coscinodiscophyceae; Rhizosoleniales; Rhizosoleniaceae.
UUUCCAUAAGAACAAUGAUUGAAAGAAGAAAGUAACAUUACCAAAUGAUUUCCAAAAUUGUUAUCAUCCUCCUUUUGAUGCUUUUCUAUGCAAUGUCCUUUUCUUCUUAUUGUACUUAUUUUUCUUCUUCUUCUUCUUAUUCUUCUUCUUCUUCUCAUGGUAACAAUUGAUGGAGAAGAAAUGGCAUUUUGAAGAAGAGUUGAAGAACCAGCAGACACAUAGACUAUUGCUGGUAGUGUAUUAAUGAUGC